AUUGAACGCUGGCGGCAUGCCUUACACAUGCAAGUCGAACGGUAACGGGUCUUCGGAUGCUGACGAGUGGCGAACGGGUGAGUAAUACAUCGGAACGUGCCCGAUCGUGGGGGAUAACGAGGCGAAAGCUUUGCUAAUACCGCAUACGAUCUACGGAUGAAAGCGGGGGAUCUUCGGACCUCGCGCGGACGGAGCGGCCGAUGGCAGAUUAGGUAGUUGGUGGGAUAAAAGCUUACCAAGCCGACGAUCUGUAGCUGGUCUGAGAGGAUGAUCAGCCACACUGGGACUGAGACACGGCCCAGACUCCUACGGGAGGCAGCAGUGGGGAAUUUUGGACAAUGGGCGAAAGCCUGAUCCAGCCAUGCCGCGUGCAGGAUGAAGGCCUUCGGGUUGUAAACUGCUUUUGUACGGAACGAAAAGCCUCUUUCUAAUAAAGAGGGGUCAUGACGGUACCGUAAGAAUAAGCACCGGCUAACUACGUG
Molecule: ribosomal RNA, 482 nt
Filed under: uncultured bacterium
Lineage: Bacteria
Description: partial 16S ribosomal RNA
Rfam family: Bacterial small subunit ribosomal RNA
Source: RNAcentral